Molecule: long non-coding RNA, 1238 nt
Organism: Ctenopharyngodon idella (grass carp)
Lineage: Eukaryota; Metazoa; Chordata; Actinopteri; Cypriniformes; Xenocyprididae
Exons: 3
Source: RefSeq, a predicted model, not a curated record
UCUGAACAGGACUUUUAUUUUGGAGCGACGACAUGACGUCAUAAGACUGCGCCGCGCUCCUGCAUCUGUUGUGAUUCUGCUGAAGAAAGAUGGAGUUUAUUAAAGAGGAGAGUGAAGAUGUGAAGAUUGAGUUUAUUAAAGAGGAAAGUGAAGAUGUGAAGAUAAUUAUUAAAGAUGAGACUGAAGACAUGAAGAUUGAAGAAACAUUCAGUGUGAAACAUGAAGAUACUGAGGAACAAACAGAUCUAAUAGCACUGAAAGAGGCGAGCCUUGAACUUAAUGAAAGGGAAGAAGAGAAAGAACAUUAUGAUGAACAUCAUGAUUUCAUGACUGGGGAAAGAUCGACAUGGGCUAAAAAGACUUCCUCACGAAAAAGAGUUCAAAAGACAGGAACUAAAAGAUAUUUCGCCUGCCAACAGUGUGGAAAGAGUUUUGAUCAACAUGGAAACCUUCAAGUCCAUAUGAGAAUUCAUACGGGAGAAAAGCCGUACACCUGCCAACAAUGUGGAAAGAGUUUCACAUAUAAAGGAAACCUUAAAGUCCACAUGAAAGUUCACACUCAGAGAAGGCUUACACCUGCCAACAGUGUGGAAAGAGUUUCACACAUAAAGGAAACCUUAAAGUCCACAUGAGAAUUCACACUGGACAGAGCCUUUUCACAUGUCAACAGUGUGGACAGAGUUUCAGUCAAAAAGGAAACCUUAUAGCCCACAUAAGAACUCACACUGGAGAAAAGCCUUACACCUGCACUCUGUGCGGGAAUGGCUUCAAACGAGAACUAAGCCUUAGGGAACACAUGAAUAUUCACACUGGAGAGAAGCCUUUCACAUGUGAUCAGUGUGGAAAGAGUUUCAGAUUUCAAAGUAACCUUAAGGUCCACAUGAGGAUUCACUCGAAAGAGAGCUGUUUUAGAAGUCGUUACUGUAGAAAGAGCAGAGGUGUAAAGAGUACCUGAAAACCAUAUUUGAGUAGAAGUACAGAUACCUUACAGCGAAAAUUACUCCGUUACAUGUUAGAAGUCAAACUGCCAAGCAGUAGUGGCCAAAAGUGAUGUUUGGCUUAGGAAAAUUGACAUAUUCAGCCUUUAUUUAAAUAUUCUUAAAAAUGUCUAAAGAUUUUGUAAGUAUAUUGCGUAGUUGUGAUAACUAGUAAAACAAAUUGUGUGACAAUUUUUGUCCAGGAUUAUCAACACCCUGUCAUCAUUUAACUCCAAUACAUUAUAUUUUCAUUGAAAAGUG